This 914-nucleotide ribosomal RNA is filed under the name Lactiplantibacillus pentosus. RNAcentral's name for it is "bacterial SSU rRNA". It matches the Rfam family "Bacterial small subunit ribosomal RNA", at positions 45 to 924 of the family's 1533-position model. Lineage: Bacteria; Bacillati; Bacillota; Bacilli; Lactobacillales; Lactobacillaceae. The record is from RNAcentral.
UGCCUAAUACAUGCAAGUCGAACGAACUCUGGUAUUGAUUGGUGCUUGCAUCAUGAUUUACAUUUGAGUGAGUGGCGAACUGGUGAGUAACACGUGGGAAACCUGCCCAGAAGCGGGGGAUAACACCUGGAAACAGAUGCUAAUACCGCAUAACAACUUGGACCGCAUGGUCCGAGUUUGAAAGAUGGCUUCGGCUAUCACUUUUGGAUGGUCCCGCGGCGUAUUAGCUAGAUGGUGGGGUAACGGCUCACCAUGGCAAUGAUACGUAGCCGACCUGAGAGGGUAAUCGGCCACAUUGGGACUGAGACACGGCCCAAACUCCUACGGGAGGCAGCAGUAGGGAAUCUUCCACAAUGGACGAAAGUCUGAUGGAGCAACGCCGCGUGAGUGAAGAAGGGUUUCGGCUCGUAAAACUCUGUUGUUAAAGAAGAACAUAUCUGAGAGUAACUGUUCAGGUAUUGACGGUAUUUAACCAGAAAGCCACGGCUAACUACGUGCCAGCAGCCGCGGUAAUACGUAGGUGGCAAGCGUUGUCCGGAUUUAUUGGGCGUAAAGCGAGCGCAGGCGGUUUUUUAAGUCUGAUGUGAAAGCCUUCGGCUCAACCGAAGAAGUGCAUCGGAAACUGGGAAACUUGAGUGCAGAAGAGGACAGUGGAACUCCAUGUGUAGCGGUGAAAUGCGUAGAUAUAUGGAAGAACACCAGUGGCGAAGCGGCUGUCUGGUCUGUAACUGACGCUGACGCUCGAAAGUAUGGGUAGCAAACAGGAUUAGAUACCCUGGUAGUCCAUACCGUAAACGAUGAAUGCUAAGUGUUGGAGGGUUUCCGCCCUUCAGUGCUGCAGCUAACGCAUUAAGCAUUCCGCCUGGGGGAGUACGGCCGCAGGCUGAAACUCAAAGGGAUUUGACGGGGGCCGC